RNAcentral lists this ribosomal RNA (204 nucleotides) under Paenibacillus sp. ov031. Its description in RNAcentral is "partial 16S rRNA. Bacterial SSU". It matches the Rfam family "Bacterial small subunit ribosomal RNA", at positions 1 to 195 of the family's 1533-position model. Lineage: Bacteria; Bacillati; Bacillota; Bacilli; Caryophanales; Paenibacillaceae. The record is from RNAcentral.
CUUUAUUGGAGAGUUUGAUCCUGGCUCAGGACGAACGCUGGCGGCAUGCCUAAUACAUGCAAGUCGAGCGGACUUGAAGAGAAGCUUGCUUCUCUGAUAGUUAGCGGCGGACGGGUGAGUAACACGUAGGCAACCUGCCCUCAAGUUUGGGACAACUACCGGAAACGGUAGCUAAUACCGAAUAGUUGUUUUCUUCUCCUGAAG